CAUCUUGUAUCUUUAGGUAUUCGGAGCCUCAACCAAGUCCCUCAAGGUUCUCAUCUCCUGAAUCUUGAGCUCGUGGAGAGCUAUGCACUGCCUCCAUCUUAGGACCACUUCUGUUCUAGGCCUAGGAUUUAAAUCCAAUCCUAGCCUCCCAGAGCCAACACCCUGGCUUCUAUCGUAGCCUCUCAAUGCUUGAGAGCACCACACCAACUCCUAUACAUUUAAGCUACAUUAUUAUUAAUCUUC
Molecule: long non-coding RNA, 243 nt
Filed under: Elaeis guineensis (African oil palm)
Lineage: Eukaryota; Viridiplantae; Streptophyta; Magnoliopsida; Arecales; Arecaceae
Description: long non-coding RNA (EGUI_LNC034766)
Source: RNAcentral